RNAcentral lists this ribosomal RNA (764 nucleotides) under uncultured Actinobacillus sp. RNAcentral's name for it is "bacterial SSU rRNA". It matches the Rfam family "Bacterial small subunit ribosomal RNA", at positions 99 to 861 of the family's 1533-position model. Lineage: Bacteria; Pseudomonadati; Pseudomonadota; Gammaproteobacteria; Pasteurellales; Pasteurellaceae. The record is from RNAcentral.
CGGACGGGUGAGUAAUGCUUGGGAAUCUGGCUUAUGGAGGGGGAUAACUACGGGAAACUGUAGCUAAUACCGCGUAGUAUCGGAAGAUGAAAGUGUGGGACCGCAAGGCCACAUGCCAUAAGAUGAGCCCAAGUGGGAUUAGGUAGUUGGUUAGGUAAAGGCUGACCAAGCCGACGAUCUCUAGCUGGUCUGAGAGGAUGACCAGCCACACUGGAACUGAGACACGGUCCAGACUCCUACGGGAGGCAGCAGUGGGGAAUAUCGCACAAUGGGGGGAACCCUGAUGCAGCCAUGCCGCGUGAAUGAAGAAGGCCUUCGGGUUGUAAAGUUCUUUCGGUGAUGAGGAAGGCAGGUAAGUUAAUAGCUUGCUUGAUUGACGUUAGUCACAGAAGAAGCACCGGCUAACUCCGUGCCAGCAGCCGCGGUAAUACGGAGGGUGCGAGCGUUAAUCGGAAUAACUGGGCGUAAAGGGCACGCAGGCGGUGACUUAAGUGAGAUGUGAAAGCCCCGAGCUUAACUUGGGAAUUGCAUUUCAUACUGGGUCGCUAGAGUACUUUAGGGAGGGGUAGAAUUCCACGUGUAGCGGUGAAAUGCGUAGAGAUGUGGAGGAAUACCGAAGGCGAAGGCAGCCCCUUGGGAAUGUACUGACGCUCAUGUGCGAAAGCGUGGGGAGCAAACAGGAUUAGAUACCCUGGUAGUCCACGCUGUAAACGCUGUCGAUUUGGGGAUUGGGCUUUGAGCUUGGUGCCCGUAGCUAACGUGAU